AAUGGGGUAAACCCUGACGCAGCAACGCCACGUGAGUGAUGAAGGCCUUCGGGUCGUAAAGCUCUGUCAGAGGGAAAGAAAUGUGGGCGGCUAAUAUCCGUUCCACUUGACGGUACCUCCGAAGGAAGCACCGGCUAACUCCGUGCCAGCAGCCGCGGUAAUACGGAGGGUGCAAGCGUUGUUCGGAAUUAUUGGGCGUAAAGCGCGUGUAGGCGGUUUCUUAAGUCUGAUGUGAAAGCCCCGGGCUCAACCUAGGAAGUGCAUUGGAAACUAGGAGACUUGAGUACGGGAGAGGGUAGUGGAAUUCCUAGUGUAGGAGUGAAAUCCGUAGAUAUUAGGAGGAACACCGGUGGCGAAGGCGGCUACCUGGACCGAUACUGACGCUGAGGCGCGAAAGCGUGGGGAGCAAA
Molecule: ribosomal RNA, 410 nt
Filed under: uncultured bacterium
Lineage: Bacteria
Description: bacterial SSU rRNA
Rfam family: Bacterial small subunit ribosomal RNA
Source: RNAcentral